Molecule: transfer RNA, 64 nt
Filed under: Bittacomorphella fenderiana
Lineage: Eukaryota; Metazoa; Arthropoda; Insecta; Diptera; Ptychopteridae
Description: tRNA-Arg
Source: RNAcentral
AAACAUGAAGCAAUAAAUGCAAUUAGUUUCGACCUAAUCUUAGAUAUCUAUUUAUCCUUGUUUA